ACAAAGGCUUGGUCCUGACUUUACUAUCAGCCAUAACACAACUUACACAUGCAAGUAUCCGCGGCCCUGUGAGGAUGCCCUUAAUCCCCUGCCCGGGGACGAGGAGCAGGCAUCAGGCUCAAUUUUUGGCCCAAGACGCCUUGCCAUGCCACACCCCCAAGGGAAUUCAGCAGUGAUAGACAUUAAGCUAUGAGCAAAAAGCCCGACUUAGUCAGUGUUAAGAGGGCCGGUAAAACUCGUGCCAGCCACCGCGGUUAUACGAGAGGCCCUAGUUGAUAGAUACGGCGUAAAGGGUGGUUAAGGAUAACAAAAAUUUAAAGCCAAAGGGCCUCCUGGCCGUCAUACGCUUCCGAGUGUCCGAAACCCAAAUACGAAAGUAGCUUUAACAUAAGCCCGCCUGACUCCACGAAAGCUGAGAAACAAACUGGGAUUAGAUACCCCACUAUGCUCAGCCAUAAACCUAGACGUUAAAUCACAACAAACGUCCGCCAGGGCACUACGAGCGUCAGCUUAAAACCCAAAGGACUUGGCGGUGCCUUAGACCCCCCUAGAGGAGCCUGUUCUAGAACCGAUAACCCCCGUUAAACCUCACCACUUCUAGUCAUUCCCCGCCUAUAUACCGCCGUCGUCAGCUUACCCUGUGAAGGCCUAAUAGUAAGCAAAAAGGGCACAACCCAAAACGUCAGGUCGAGGUGUAGCGUACGAAGUGGGAAGAAAUGGGCUACAUUUUCUAUUAUAGAAUAUACGAACAGCACUAUGAAAACUAAUGCUUGAAGGAGGAUUUAGUAGUAAAAAGGAAAUAGAGUGUCCUUUUGAACCCGGCUCUGAGGCGCGUACACACCGCCCGUCACUCUCCCCUGUUAAAUAGCCACCAACGUAAAUAACAACAAAGCACCAACAAGGGGAGGCAAGUCGUAACAAGGUAAGUGUACCGGAAGGUGCACUUGGAUCAACCC
RNAcentral lists this non-coding RNA (956 nucleotides) under Pseudogastromyzon fasciatus. Its description in RNAcentral is "12S rRNA". It matches the Rfam family "Bacterial small subunit ribosomal RNA". The record is from RNAcentral. Lineage: Eukaryota; Metazoa; Chordata; Actinopteri; Cypriniformes; Gastromyzontidae.